CCUCCGCACAAACCACCCACAUGGACUUUUUCCAUGCGCUCCACUGCUGAGUCUCGACGAGACUUCGCAUAGAUGAAAGCUUUUCGUGCUGUCACCAAACGCGGAUCCAGAUUCACACCCAAAGACAACACCUAACUAGCAUAUCUAUAAAGGGUAGAGAAGACGAAGCUAACUAGUACCACCGCCAGUCAUCGGAAAAUACAGAGCCUGAGGCUGAGGGGAUCUGAGGGAAACGAGAGAGAAGAUAAAGUUUUUUUAAUUCCUCUCAUACAUACAUAUAUAUAUAUAAAUAUAUAUAUCUAUAUGAAAAAAAUUUAUGAUUGUAUUUUUUAUUUUAUUUUCACAAAAAAAUAGCCAUCAAAUAGAAAAAUGAUUAAAACUGUUAUUAAAUAAUGAUAUAUAUCUAUAUUUUAGGGUAAACUAAUCUAGAUUUGAGAUUUAGAAUUCAUGGGUGACGUUUUGAAGAUGAGAUUUUAAAUUUCAAAAAAUAAAUAUUAAAAAUUUUAAAAUAAAAAAAAGUUGUUUUGGUCUUUUCUUUUUUUCUCAGAACUAUUUUGGUGACAAUUUUUUUUAAAAAAAACUAUUUGAAAGAAUUUAUAUAUAUACAAUAGCAUUUAAUUAUGAGUAUCUAAAAAAUAUAAUCGAAAGCAUUAUCUUCUUAAAAAAAAUUGAGACAUUUCUAUUGGAGUUGCUCUCAGCAUAUAGUAGAUAACACAAAAAUUAUAGUAUUAUAUUUUAUUUAAAACAACAUAUAUUAUAACGUAAUUAGCUUACAUAGCCAUUUUUAAGUUUUGUCACUAAAAUAGCCCUAAAAAAAAGAAAAUGAUCAAAAUAACCUCUUUUUAUUUUGAAAAUUUUAGUUUUAAAUUUUUUUGAAAUUUGAAACCACACUUUCAAAACUUUACCCAUUAACUUUAUACAUUAAGUCAAGAUUAGCUAACUAUAAAAUAUAAAUAUAUAUUUACCAUUUAAUAAUACUUCUUCUUUUGGUCAUUUUAUUUCUUAAGGAUUAUUUUGUGAAAAUAAAUCAGAAGAGGAUACCUAAGAAAUUUCUCUAUAUUAUUCAACAAUCAAUAUACUAACAGUUUAAACCAACAUAUAACGUGCAGUGUGGUUCAACUUUAAAAACGUUGCAUUCACGAUCAAUAAGAAAUGGAAAUAUUUUUCCCGUUUCUUGACUGAACCACAAACCAAAUGUGAAAACAUCAAUCAGUUGAUCAAAUACGUAUUGUUUAAUCUACUAUAUUACAAAAUAAAUGUAGCCACGGUUUUAAUCAAACCCAAUCAGUUAAAUAUCUCUUUAUGAACUUGAAAAUUGGCUAUAACAUCAAAUGAAAAUGCAUUUUUUUUCAAAAAUUUAUUAACUAUAUCAAAAUAUGUAGCAACCAGUAUAACCACUCAUUGAUUUAUAAACUAAUUUACUUAUGAACAUAUUUAAAAUUACAAACAAAACUUAACAGCUAUAUCGUAAAAUUUUAGAGCUUCCACCGUUCCGUAAGCUAUUGUUUCAACGAGAUUAACAGCACCUUUUGUUGUUAGUUAUGUUUUCAUCUCCGAUUCUACUCACUUCAACCACACCCGCUGACUCCAUCAGCCGGUAUUACCUUUUUUGUCGCGGCACUCCUAAAUUGAUGUUUUAACAGAUCAAAUCAAAAUUGGUGGUACAUACUACUCUUCUCUAAAGCACAAAUAAGAAAAUGACAUAUUGAGAAGAAUAGGAUUCGAACCCAUGAUACAAUUUUCUUGUAUAUCAGUUUAGCAAAGCAACCUAUCGGCUGGUCGGCUUGUUGCAACCUUCUCAGGAAUGCCUGCUGAGAUCCCAAGUCUUCAAGUAGACCCUCUUGGCCACCCUUUCCUCGAAGAGAUAAAAGGGUCCUAUAGAGAAUGUGGUCAGAAAUCAAUUGAGAUCGUUAAUGGUCUUGCUCUCUUUACAUAUAGUUACUGUCGAUGUCAUCUACGCAGAUCUGAGCUUCCAUGACUUGGUGACCUCGGAAGCAUAACUCCCCCCCCCCUUUGCUUGUUGUCUCCCAAUGUGUCUCGACAACAACUUCAAAGCUUGUAGAGCCUUUUUGGGGAUUCAUUUCAUCUGAGAAUGGCAGAGUCUCCGUUGAGAGCCUCUUCCCUUAACUUCACACAUUUGCAAACAGUGGUAAUCCUUUGUUGUGGCUUAUUUCUCUAAUUUGUGCUUUUAGAGGUUGGAUAUUAGGAUUCUUUGAGGACAGAGCCGUGGUGUUCCCAUGAAGUCAUGAUGCUCGAGCUGAAUCCUUCUAUUGAAUUCACCUAUUUAUGAGGAGUCGUUUGGCUUCUCAGUUUGUCACCUUCCUUUUCAUGGUACAUGUCUAUUAUAUCUAGAAGGUUUGGAUGCCUAUCAUGCCCUUUGAAUAUCUCUUUUGUCAUCGGAAAAGGGAACUAAACUACCGAUUACACUUGACCAAAAUGGCCUUUCGUGUUUUCAAUCUAGCAUUGGAGUGAUAGGUGAGACCCUCCAUCAUCGCAGAUUGAGAGAACCUCUAGGUUUGGCAUAAGCAAAUUAUUUUUGCUCAGUGUUCUCUUCGAUCCGUUGGUCUUUAAGAGAUUAGGAAGACAUAUCUGGGAAUAAAUACAAUUGGUUGUUAGUUUCUUGUAGUUUUAAGGUUUGUAUGCUCAGAUUAACCUUAGCUGCUUUAUAGUCAAUUAGUUUUCUUAAAUCUUUAAUGUGGUCCUUUGAAUCGGAAUUGCUUUCGAGCGAAUCAAAUUACAAACUUUGAUUUGGCACAAAAACAAUCUUCAUUUUUCGACAUCUGUAAUGAAGCGUUCUAACAGCAAUUUGAUUAUUCUUAUAAUGAUAUUUACAUCUUUAGCAAAAAAAAAUUAUAAAUAUCAAAUGGUUAGUAGAAGUAUGUUUGAUUGGAAUUACUAGUUGGGCGUGCGUGAAAUCUCUUCUUAGUUAUAAAUCAUAUGGAAGAAUGAAUGGACAACUAAAACUAUAAAACUAAUAAUUUAAAAAAAAUGAUUGAAAUAUUGUAAGUUAGAUAGAUAUGUAAAAGGGCGAUUGAUUUAGUGUUUAAUAAUUAUUGUUCAUGGUUUAGUAUCUACAAGGCGGGAUUGAUUUUUCAAACUUUUACUAAAAAAUGUAAAGAUUUAUAAAUGAUUUACGAAGAUUAGUUCAGUUUCAUAAAUUUAAAAUAUUUAUAAAAAUAGUUAUCAUUUAGAAAUAAAUUUAAAAAAUAAUAUCAUAUUUAUGGUAAAAUAAGAUUUUCCAUAAUUCAAAUACAGUAUGUGGAACUAUCUACUGGCAGCUUGUAAAAUAAUCUAACGAGUGACUUACAAGAUUGCCUCCUUACAAAAGAAAGACAUGACUUUUCUCGGUAGCAUACGGUAAAUGGGUUCGUCGUAACUGAGUUUCCUACUCCUGCCUACAGUUUACAUCCCACAACACGUAUUAGUUUUUUUUUCUUUUUUGAAAAAAGGGCAACAUGUAUUAGCUUUUAACAAUGACUUACGUUAAAGACCCUCCAAACUUCUUUAAAUUUCAACGUACGCAAUAUUUUGUCCAAUUUAUAAGUGCGAAUAAAGGCUUCUCUAAUCUUAUAACCAUCAGUGAAAAAAGACUACACAAAGAAAUAAUGUUCUUUAUUUUUGUCUAAAAACAUGAUCUCAUAUUUGGCAAGACGUUUUUAAAAAUGAAUAAGUAUGUAGAAACUUUCACAUCAUAUGAUUUAUAGUGCAAUUGGAAUACACUUAAAAUUUUUAUUAAUUCUUAACUUUUUUACAUUCUUUAAAAUUUUCAUUAGUUAGAAUGAAAAAAUAGAAACAACAUUCAUUUUAAAAAUAAAAUAAAAUAUAAUAUAUUAAUUCAUCUCUAAAUUAAUGUUUCAGAACAAUAUCUCCACCAUCACACCAAAAAAUAAAGGGAAUUAAAUUACAGAUUUAACAGAAACAGAGAAUAACAACAAACUAAUCUGAACAAACAAAUGAAAGAAAUUUGAAGGUAAAAUGAUUAGGGAAACGAAGCACUUCCUCAGGUAGACAUCAUCAACGAGUAAACCGGACUCUGAGACUUCAUAAGAGAGGGUGUCUACGCCCAUCACAGAUCCGCCACCGUUGUCCACAAUCCGUUAUUCGCGGAAGUGUCCCCCGGCACCAAAACGUCAGACGCGUCGAAGAGGUUGUGUCUCAUAUUGUUCACAGAUCCGAACUACAACGAAUCUAUAUCAAUCUAUAUUACAUUUCAUUCUAUAUCAAUCUAUAUUAAUCCGAAAAGAAAACAGUUCUUUGAAAAAUCAUUCCACAUCAAAAAAUUUUGGGAUAAAUGAAAUGCUAAUUCUAUUUAAUAAGUUCUAGAAAUAAUUAUUCUUAUUGUUCCAUAAUUAUUUUUCCAGCCAUAAUGAUAUGAGCAGGUUUUAGUUGUGUCCUAACGUCUUUUGUGAGUUUGUGGUCCUUGGACAAAUAAUUGUUCGGAUGAGAGAACAACAAGGAAUUAGGCCCAUCGAUUAUUGUAUAGUUUACCAAAUAUUUUAAAAAUAUCAUUACACUCGAGAAUAACUAUAGCUGAUUAUAUAUAUACAUAUAUAUUUUUUUAUAUCAAAGCUGAUUAUGAAAGAAACAAAGCAAAAACUUGAUUUUUUUCUUUAAUUUCAAGAGGAAUUGGGUCUUACGAUCUUAAUUUUUCCUUCAUUCCCGAACCAGCUUUUGACAUUAAACCGAUAUGUUAAUCUACCCUUCCCACCUAUUGUGAACUAGGAGCACAAUACAUCAAUAUCUGCAUUUAAGCCAACCGAUCUACCAUAUUUGGUGGUAAACGAAUAAUAUAUUCUUUAUUAUUAUAAAAAAAAAUUUAAUUUUCAGGAAAACUACAAAACGAAUAAUAUAAUCUCUGUUAUCUAUUUUUCUCGCAUUUUAAAAUUUAUUUCAGGUCGAAGUUGAAAAUAUAUUUUAGUAGUGGAGAAGAAAAUAAUGAAUGUCCGAAAAUGAAAUCCAGCCGACAGCAUGAGGCUUUGCUGUUGCCGUAAUAAGAGGACAUGUGUACAAUACCUACCACGUGUUCGUAUCGAAUCCAUUUUCUCCAUCUCAUCUCAGCCAUCCAGUCUAGAUCAAACACCCGCAAAUUAAAUCAUAUGUCUCACAUUGGUUGCAUUCAUCUUUUUGUAAAUAAUCAAAGUUAAAGGAAAUCUUUUACGUUUAUAUCAUUAUUUAUGUUUAUCACUACUAAAAUAAUAUUUUAAAACAAAAUUUUUUUUCAUAUUUACCAUCACUAAAAAAAUAUUUUCAAAAAUAUCUUCUCACUAAAUAUUAAAAGACUCUUAUAUCUUUGUUUCUUUAUAUAAAAAAUAAAAAAAUAUUUUUUUUAUUUUCGAAUUAUAUUUUUUUCAAAUUCGAACUUUUCUAUAAUUUUUUUUUUGAAUUAUUUUUUCAAUUUUUUUUCAAAAAUCAAAAAUUAUUUUUGAAACUAUUUUUUAUAUUUUUAAGAAUUUAUUUAUAUGUUUAUUAGAAUCUUAAAUUUCAUAUUUCAAAAUACUUAUGCCACCCUCUCAACUUUACAUCUUAAAUCUAGAUUAACUAAUUUUAAGAUUAUAAAUGUUUUUUAUCCUCCAACUAAAAUAAAGAUAAAACUAGCUAAUAUAAACAUAAAAAGUGAUACUAUGACUGUGAUAUAUAUAUAUAAAAUAAAUAUUUCUUUAAAUAAAUAAAAAAUGUUUUUAAAUAUCUAUUUGAACGAGAAAACUUACAACCUUCUUUAUAAGUCUUUCACACGGAAGGUUAUAAUAGUAAAACUAAAUACAAGUUUUUUGUUUGGUCAUAAGAAGGUUGUUGUAAUUUCACUAGCUUUUAGAUUAUUUUGGCAUUUGAUUGAAUUUAGGAUACAUUUUUAUAUUCAAAAUCAAAUUUUAAGUCACUUUUAGCAAUUUUCCUUGAUUAAAGACUAUUUGAAUACCCUGAUUAAUAAAAAAUCCCAAAUUAAUAAAAAGAUUCCAAUGCAAGAUUAGUAUGAUAAAAUAAUUUAUUUUUAUAAAAAAAAA
Long non-coding RNA from Brassica rapa (field mustard), 5999 nucleotides. RefSeq lists it as uncharacterized. The record is from RefSeq and is a predicted model, not a curated record. Lineage: Eukaryota; Viridiplantae; Streptophyta; Magnoliopsida; Brassicales; Brassicaceae.